AUGGCAACCCACUCCAAUAUUCUUGCCUAGAGAAUCCCAUGGACAGAGGGCCCUGACAGGUUGCAGUCGAUGGGGUCUCAAAGAGUUGGACAUGACAAAGCGACAAACGCUUUUUUCUCUGUAUACUUGAACAUUGUUAUCUGGGAGGUAACGCUAAACUUUAGUUCUUAGGAUUAAUAACACUUUUGUGGGGGAGAGACAAGUAAUUAACCAUACUUGCUCAUUUCCUAAGUGGUUUAGAAGGUUGCUAUCUGCUUCACCGUACAUACGAAGCCAAUUGAAAUAUGAAUAUAUCACAGUCAUACUCCAAACAGCAAACAAGCUCAGAGGAAAGUCAUUUAUUCAGAAGGCAUAGAUUUGUGCUAGACAGCAGUGAUGCAUUACAAAUAUAUAAUUAUUUUCACUAAUAUUUGAGCAGGUGGAAUGGAUUAGAACAUGGUCAACAUUAUGCUGCUGAUAACAUGUAUUUUUCUAUAUUAAUAUGUACUGUGCAACAUGUAUUAAAAUUGUCAAUAAUUCAUUUUAGCCGAGAUACUAAUAUUUAUAUUACAGUGUUGAAGAGACAGUAUCCAACUGAGCCACUUUUAAUUUAAAAGUCUGAAACUGGAAUUAAGUUUACUUUCAAAAACCACUUAAAUUACUUUAUAAUCACUGGAAGGUCAAUAAAACAGAAUUAUCAAUGACUGGUCACUUAAUAGGAAGAAGUAUAGAAAGUUAAGAAUAUGGAUAAGAAUCUGGAAUAAGUUAAAUUUCAUUUAUAGCUCAGAUGAGUUAUCUCCUUUUGUUUUCACCAUUGGUAAUCUUAAAUGAAGGAAAAUGUCUUUUUCCCAGAGCAUCUUCACAUUAAUAAACUAAGUCUGAAGAUUGGAUGGAACCAACUCCGAGGAAUCUUCAGCGCACCUAUGAACAUGUCACUAUCCUAACAGGAAGAGGGUGUGAGUAUGUGUCUUCAAGAUUCUGAAAAUCCUAUGUGAAAAGAAUUAUCUGAGUGAAUUAAUGACAUAAAACAAACAGUUUUGAAGAACAUGUAUGUUCACAGUGGACCCAGGAAGGAGCUGGACAGAAGAGUUCAUCAUAAUUAAAAUUGUUUUUUAGGGUUAUAUAUCUCCUAGAAUUCCUUUAUCAACUCUUUAAUAGGAAUCUAUUGAUUAGUUUUUUGGUUUUUAAGGAAAAAAUUUUGAAACAAUCUCUGACUUACAGAAAGGUUUUAAAUAUUGUACAAAUAAAAUUUUUCCACUUUGAGAGUAAGUUGCUGUCAUGAUGCCCCAUUACCCUGUAAUACUUUUUUAUUUCCAACAAGAAGAAAUUCUCCUAUAUAGUCAUAAUACAGUUAUCAAAAUCAGGAAAUUAACAUUGAUAUGUUACUCCCAUCUAACCCUAAGACCCCUUUCAAGUUUCACUGAUUGUCCCAAUAAUGAUUUAUAAGGAUCCACUUUAAAAUCAUGUGGUGUUUUAGGUUGUAAUAUCUCUACUUUCUUCCACUCUGGAAUGGUUUCUUACUUAGUCUUUCCUUGAUUUUUGCUACCCUUGACACUUCUGUAGAUUAUAAGCCAGUUAUGUAAAAUGUUCCUAAAUUUGAAUUUAUUUCCUCGUGAAUAGAUUCCAGUUGUGCUUUUUUGGCAGGGAUAUUACAAAAGCAAGUCUGUGUUGUAAUUGCAGCCUAUGAGGUAGUGCACAAUCUCAGUGCACCAUUUCUGAUAAUACUCAUUUUAAUCACUUGCUUAUGUUGCUACCUAUCAGGAUUCUCUACUAUAAAGUUACUUUUUCCCUUUGUAAUAAUUUCGUGAGAAGGUAGUUUGAAACUAUGUAUAUAUCCUGCUCCUAAUCAAAAUUUCAGUGUGAAUGGUUUUCUGGUUAAAAGAUUAUAACCUGUUGCUUAUUUUGAAUCUCAAAUUGUCUCACAUUUGGUUAAUGGGAUCCCCUUCAAGUUGGCUCCUAUCUCCUUUAGACAUGUCAUCAUUUUUUAAGUGCUUUCUUACAUUGGGCACACAGCUUUCUCCAAACUCAUCCUGUAUUUGCCUGCCCCAUAGUUUGAAUCAGCUGUUUCUUCAUCUUUUUAGUGGAAAUUGGUAUUUAGAAACUACAAUUUGUAUAUGAGAUAUGCUUAUAAUUGAGAUGUCUGUGCCACCACUCCUCAGUGGAUGGUGCUAUGGGGCUUUGUGUGUGUAUAUACAGGUAUGUUUUAAAUUUACAUGCACAUACACUCCUAUGUGAUACCCUUUUUACCUCAUUUGAGCUCUAGUACUCCUGUUGUGUUUCCUCCCCCAUGCAAGAGGGGGGCUUCCUCACUUCACUCAGCCUCUGAGGCUUUGGCCAUAGAACAAGGUAGGGGGAAUGAAAACAGUCAUUACAGAAAACAUGUAAAGAUUUAAAAAUUGUAAAUAAAAAUUGUUCAUAAUCGCUUUAUUCAGAAACAACAAA
Capra hircus (goat) is the source of this 2421-nucleotide long non-coding RNA. RefSeq lists it as uncharacterized. NCBI's taxonomy places the organism in Eukaryota, Metazoa, Chordata, Mammalia, Artiodactyla, Bovidae. The transcript is spliced from 2 exons. The record is from RefSeq and is a predicted model, not a curated record.